Molecule: unclassified non-coding RNA, 348 nt
Filed under: soil metagenome
Description: partial contains 5.8S ribosomal RNA, internal transcribed spacer 2, and large subunit ribosomal RNA
Rfam family: 5.8S ribosomal RNA (bases 1-120)
Source: RNAcentral
GAUGAAGAACGCAGCAAAAUGCGAUAAGUAAUGUGAAUUGCAGAAUUCAGUGAAUCAUCGAAUCUUUGAACGCACAUUGCGCCCGCUGGUAUUCCGGCGGGCAUGCCUGUUCGAGCGUCAUUUCAACCCUCAAGCCCCCGGGUUUGGUGUUGGGGAUCGGCUCUGCCCUUCUGGGCGGUGCCGCCCCCGAAAUACAUUGGCGGUCUCGCUGCAGCCUCCAUUGCGUAGUAGCUAACACCUCGCAACUGGAACGCGGCGCGGCCAUGCCGUAAAACCCCAAUUUCUGAAUGUUGACCUCGGAUCAGGUAGGAAUACCCGCUGAACUUAAGCAUAUCAAUAAGCGGAGGA